CGGGGGACAGUGGCUGACCAGAGAGGCGGGGAGGAAGCCUCCGAGGGACCUCACACCUGCGGAGGAGCAGGGUUCCAGCUGCACAUUUGAGAAGGUGAAGCAGCUCAGAACACCACUAAGGAAGGGAGCAGAGAUGCCAAGGCAGUUGUGGCUACAGAGCGGUGUUGUUCCAAGAGGAACAGCCGAAACCUGGGGAAGGCGUAAGCUGAUACAGGCCUCUUUCUGCCACACUGGGCGCUCGGCAAGCACGCAGGUCACUGAGCUCCCCACAGUGCUUUCCACUGCUGUGUCCGCCACGGGGUCCCAAAUUCCACGUUAGUCCAUAGGUUUCUGCCCAGUCACCCUGCAGGUUGCAACUUUAUGGCCCUGCGGGACAUUAACCCGUUGGAACUGACAAACAAAGCCAAUUCAGCGUUUCUUUAAUUAUGUAACUGCUCCUGGGAGUGUCCUUCACACCAGCUCUACCCGCUUAUCCGUCUUCCUUGUACUGCUGAGUUUGCUAAAGGAGUCAAUUCUCACAAGGUCCCUUUAACGCCCUGCAAGCUCGGCAGCUGUGUCCAUUCAGGCCCUUCUCUGCACCUUCCUUCCGACAGACACUUACUUAUCAGGUAAACCUACAGGGGCACAGAGGAGGCGGACCACCCUGGCUGCAAACCUGAAACACGGCCGGCCGCAGGACUGAGGCGCCCAAGAGCUUUCCACAGCCACCGCUCGCGAGCGCGAAGUCCCCAGGAAUGAAACUGCAAGCCAUGGGCAGCGUUUCUGCUUACACUGCUCCACUUAAAGAUAAAAGAUGAUAGGAGACAGGGAGACAGGUGUUUCUGCAAAAGGGAAGGGGCCCCGAGGAGGGGAGGGGGCACCGGGAGGGCAAGAGGAAGUAAAGAGUGAAGCCGGCUGCCUGUGCCGGCUCCCCACCGCGAUGAUGGGCUGCAAAUGUGUACAAAUGAAAACUUUUUAAAAAAUACCUCGCUUACGUGGGCAAAAAGCAAGCGUCCUCUACAAUUAUUCAGCAAACCAAGCAGUGCAAACUGCUGUUUGCACAUUCCUAGCCUGCAGUCAGAUUUCAGUUUCCUCUUUCUGCCUCUGACCCACUUUAUCAGACUCCACCCCAGGGCUGGGGACGAGCCUCUGCCCAGCAAAGCGAGGCACAGACUGACCCGGGCACUGGGUGAUUCAGACCUGAGGCGGCCCAAGCGCACUUCCUGGUCCCGCACCCGGAAGCUGACGCAGCAGGCCAGGAGUGUCUGGGGCGCACAGUGGGACCCCUCGGCUCCCGAGGCCGCCGCGCUGCGGGGAGGAGGCGCCUCACCCCGAGGAGCUGCCCUGAGCCCCCGCGGACCAGCGCGAGGCGGGUGCGCGCACCGAGGGGCACGGCAUUCCCGACCCCAGAUCCACUGGGCCGGCGCCCGCAGGGCGAUCUCAGCGCGGAAUGCGGGCGCAGAGAGCACCCCAGCCCCUCCGCUGUGCCUGCGCAGCGUGACGCUGCAUUUUCUCCGCCCGCAGCUCAGGGGCCGAGCGGCUACCUCUCCGCCGCGCGUCCCGCUGCCUGCCGGUCAGGUGAGAUGCUCGGCAGCCGGGUCACUCUAAGACGUCCCUCAGCCUUCAGCAACUGGGGCUACACGGCAGGAGCCUCAGGUUAGACGCUGACUGCUCCCUCAGGAAAUGACUUUCUCCUUGGCACACAGUCAGGCUCGUAGGCUUGGCCGGAAUGUCCUUCCUGGCUUUUGCAGAAACACGCCAGGCACUGCCGCUUGGGGUGACCCGGUACUGUGUCAUGGAUCACCCUCCAGUCCUGUGAUGGUGGGGAUUUCGGUAACUCCCUUUGGUUGUUGGAUUUCUUUUUUUAUUCUUUGUCUUUUUUUGAGAUAGGGUUUCACUAUGCAGUUCAGCCUCUAACUCACUUUGUGGCCCAGGCAGCGAUCCUCCUGCCUCAGCCUCCCAAGUGCUGAGAUUACAGGCAUGCAACACCACACAAACGAUCUGUUUUCCACAUACUUGUUUUUAGAAUGGCCUUGUUAGGGCCUAAACCACCCCCUAGCCCAGCCACUUGGUUGACAAUUACUUAUAUUUUUUAAAAAAGGAAACACACACACACACAAAACCUUCAGAAAACAAAUUUCUUAAAAUUUAAAUUGUGAAAGAUGAUGUGUCCCAGCAUCUCAGUAAAUUUGGUAUACAGCUUAAUGGAGGUAACCUAGAAAUAGCUUCUAGAAUGUUUCUAGGUAACACAGAAAAAAGUCUGACAUCAACGUGAAUAGAUAUGGACUUAUAGAAAAACGCCUAGAUCAAAACAUGCUUUCAGGGAUUAGUAUUUUUCAAGGAUUCUAAAUAGUAAAAAAGGACCUGGCAUAGUUAUGUUCACCUGUAGUCCUGGGCUACAGUUAGUUUAAGGCCAGCCUGAACUACAUAGUGAGACUCCUGUCUCAUUUUUAAAAAGGUUCAAAGCAAAGAAAGGUGAAACUUUUAUGCUGUUAGAAAUCAGUGUAGGGGGCUGGGGAUUUAGCUCAGCGGCAUAAGCACCUGCCUUGCAAGCAGGCGGUGAGGAGUUCCGAUUCCCCGUACCGAUAAAAAUGAAAAAGACAAAAAAAAAAAAAAAAAAAAAAAAAAAAAGAAAAGAAAAAAGAAAAAGAAA
Cavia porcellus (domestic guinea pig) is the source of this 2632-nucleotide long non-coding RNA. RefSeq lists it as uncharacterized. The record is from RefSeq and is a predicted model, not a curated record. The transcript is spliced from 2 exons. NCBI's taxonomy places the organism in Eukaryota, Metazoa, Chordata, Mammalia, Rodentia, Caviidae.